Molecule: ribosomal RNA, 253 nt
Filed under: uncultured bacterium
Lineage: Bacteria
Description: partial 16S ribosomal RNA
Rfam family: Bacterial small subunit ribosomal RNA
Source: RNAcentral
UACGAAGGGGGCUAGCGUUGCUCGGAAUCACUGGGCGUAAAGGGUGCGUAGGCGGGUCUUUAAGUCAGGGGUGAAAUCCUGGAGCUCAACUCCAGAACUGCCUUUGAUACUGAGGAUCUUGAGUUCGGGAGAGGUGAGUGGAACUGCGAGUGUAGAGGUGAAAUUCGUAGAUAUUCGCAAGAACACCAGUGGCGAAGGCGACACACUGGCUCACUACUGACGCUGAGGCGCGAAAGCGUGGGGAGCAAACAGG